Oreochromis aureus is the source of this 446-nucleotide long non-coding RNA. RefSeq lists it as uncharacterized. The transcript is spliced from 3 exons. The record is from RefSeq and is a predicted model, not a curated record. NCBI's taxonomy places the organism in Eukaryota, Metazoa, Chordata, Actinopteri, Cichliformes, Cichlidae.
CCGUUUUUUCUGUUUCACAGCAGUGACAAAGCAAACAGUGGUGAAAAUGAAGCUUCAGUCAGAGGCAGACAUGCACAGCACAGAGAUCCAGCAGCAGGUUUCACAGCAGCUGUCAGGCCUCAUGCUGUCAGAAGGACUGACAGACUUCAGGAUUCGUUGGAGGAAAGUCCAGAGUUACCGUGACGACCAGUUGAAGAAGCAGGAUGUGGACGGUGGCUGCAAAACUGAAGUCUGACUGGACUGAACCACUUCAUGUGUGAAGUUAAUAACAUGCUGUGCUGAGCUGUCUCAUCCUUUAAAUCUUUCAAUAUUUCAGAGUGUAAAGUUCCACCAACAGCUCAUUUGUUCAGCUGCAGUUGUAGUUUGGUAGAAAUUCUUUAAUCAGAGGUCCACUCACUAGUUUUCCUGAUAGGCUCUAGUCUCUUGUUUUGUUUUGCAGUGUCGCU